Molecule: long non-coding RNA, 1688 nt
Organism: Lolium perenne
Lineage: Eukaryota; Viridiplantae; Streptophyta; Magnoliopsida; Poales; Poaceae
Source: RefSeq, a predicted model, not a curated record
AACCGCUCACCCCCCAUCUCUCCACCCGCUCUCCGACGUCUGCGACACCGCCUCCGUCAACCUCCGCGCAGACGUCCCGAUCAAGCCAUCGUCAGCCUCCGCUGUCUUGCCACCUAUCGAGUACGGCGGUCGCCGCCCUCCAGUUCGUCUUUGUUCGCGACCUGGCCAGCCGUCGCUUCGCCGCCCAACCAAGCUGAGCACGGGAACGGAACUCCUUCGCCGCCCCGUCCACGUCUGCCUUCGUCGCCUCCAUCUCGAGCUCGCGCUCAAGCCCGUCGUCUUCACCGUCUCCGUCGCGUCGGCCGGCCGCUCGUCAAGUCCUCCGUGCGCUGCCCGUCGUCGUCGACGUCCGCGUCCUCGUCGCCCAGCUCCCUGGCGAGACACACGCUCCAUCCGCUCCGCGCAUCUCCGCCUCCGGCCGCUCCAUCCCGCCGCCUCCGUCAAGAUCGUCGUCCGCCGGCAGCGCUCGUCGCGUUCUUCUCGUCUCCGUCGCGCGGCUAUGCAGCGCACGUCCAAGCCAUGCGCGUCCACCAGCUAGCUCCUGCGGGUCAGCGCGCCAGCACCCGCGUAUGUUCUACGUCGCCAACAUCUUUUGGUCUCGUCGGCGAGCGCAGCGCCGCAUCCCUGCAUCUCCAAGGUCUUCGUGCAUGGCCAAACCUCCGGCCUGGAAGCCAUCAAGAUCAGCACGUAUCCGUCUUUCACAUGAUCCAAUCAGCAGCUCACUGCCGGGCUGCUCUUCUUCCCUUGACGCGGCAUCGGCUACUUCCUCAUCGCUUCGACAAUCUUUCUCCGUGUGCAAUCAUUUGCUUCUUCCCGGAUAGGAUCACGAAGUGGUGCAGUGAGAUACGACGAGUUCUCCGGAUGUUCCUCGGCAAGCUUUAACAGGCAAGCAUUUUCCCCUAUACUUCUGCCCCUGCAGGAGUCGCUCACCUAUUUUAUUUUGCCUUCUCCCUCAUGCUAUCCAUAAGUUACGUUCUUGUCACGUGUCCCUUCCACUUGUUACCUCAAGCAACCCAUAUUGCCACCAUCACCUCCCACGGCUAUUAUUUGGUUAUCGAGUCUGCCCUUGCGAGUCGUAGUGCAUGCUAGUGCUGUCUUAUCUCGUUACCGUUAUUGUUAUCUUAUCGGGUUAUAUGUUGGGAAGAAUCAUGGUUACUUUAGUUGUUGAUAUUUGUUUAGCGGAGGCAUCGGUGGGUCAGCUGCUCGUUUUGUGACGGCUCACUUGUGUUUCCUAAAUAUCUUAGGACCCCGAGUUCUUGUUAUCUGUUCCGAGACUGAGCGCUCUAACCACACGUGGGUGUGCUUACCGGGUCUCCCCUCGACCACUGCCGGAAUCCACAGCUUUGUCCAGUGGCCACAACUAGUUUGGAUGUUUGUUUUGCUUCUCCCGGGCGUGCAAGCAUGUUUCUUUGUGGUCAGAUGAUAUGAUGUUACUUUUGGGGAAGCCGUGAGUGCCUUGUAACCCCGUUGUCUCUUGCACGUCCGUAGGUGCGGCACGUAUUGUUAAGAGGUCAUCCUCUAGUGGGCUCUGAUCCUCUUAGCCGUUCUCGCAACAGCUAGGUCCGCCUCGGAGUUUCGAUCGGGCUCCGAAACGGGUUUAACUUAGUUAGGUGGCUUCCUGGACAUUGAUGUAGUGAAGGAGAGUGCGUGUCGUGAUAUCCACCUGUCGUAAGUGGGUUGAUCGUGCG